RNAcentral lists this ribosomal RNA (868 nucleotides) under uncultured Bacillota bacterium. Its description in RNAcentral is "bacterial SSU rRNA". It matches the Rfam family "Bacterial small subunit ribosomal RNA", at positions 17 to 893 of the family's 1533-position model. The record is from RNAcentral. Lineage: Bacteria; Bacillati; Bacillota.
UUCUGGCUCAGGACGAACGCUGGCGGCGUGCCUAACACAUGCAAGUCGAGCGGAGACAGGGAGUAGCUUGCUACGAGCUGUUUUAGCGGCGGACGGGUGAGUAACGCGUGAGCAACCUUUCCCAGACAGGGGAAUAACACACCGAAAGGUGUACUAAUACCGCAUAAGACCACGGAAUCACAUGGUUCUGGGGUAAAAGAUUUAUCGGUUUGGGGUGGGCUCGCGUCCGAUUAGGUAGUUGGUGAGGUAACGGCCCACCAAGCCGACGAUCGGUAGCCGACCUGAGAGGGUGAUCGGCCACAUUGGGACUGAGACACGGCCCAAACUCCUACGGGAGGCAGCAGUGGGGAAUAUUGGGCAAUGGAGGAAACUCUGACCCAGCAACGCCGCGUGGAGGAAGAAGGUUUUCGGAUCGUAAACUCCUGUCCUUGGGGACGAGUAGAAGACGGUAUCCAAGGAGGAAGCCCCGGCUAACUACGUGCCAGCAGCCGCGGUAAUACGUAGGGGGCAAGCGUUGUCCGGAAUAAUUGGGCGUAAAGGGCGCGUAGGCGGCUCGGUAAGUCUGGAGUGAAAGUCCUGCUUUUAAGGUGGGAAUUGCUUUGGAUACUGUCGGGCUUGAGUGCAGGAGAGGUUAGUGGAAUUCCCAGUGUAGCGGUGAAAUGCGUAGAGAUUGGGAGGAACACCAGUGGCGAAGGCGACUAACUGGACUGUAACUGACGCUGAGGCGCGAAAGUGUGGGGAGCAAACAGGAUUAGAUACCCUGGUAGUCCACACUGUAAACGAUGAAUGCUAGGUGUAGGGGGUAUCGACCCCUUCUGUGCCGCAGUCAACACAAUAAGCAUUCCGCCUGGGGAGUACGGCCGCAAGG